This 159-nucleotide small RNA is filed under the name Paenibacillus riograndensis. RNAcentral describes it as "c-di-AMP sequence". It matches the Rfam family "c-di-AMP riboswitch aptamer (ydaO/yuaA leader)". Rfam says of the family: This family represents a conserved RNA structure found upstream of the ydaO and yuaA genes in Bacillus subtilis and related genes in other bacteria. The ydaO/yuaA element is thought to act as a genetic "off" switch for the ydaO and yuaA genes in its native state. It is believed that the element may be triggered during osmotic shock leading to activation of ydaO, a predicted amino acid transporter gene, and members of the yuaA-yubG operon which code for KtrA and KtrB K+ transporters. Lineage: Bacteria; Bacillati; Bacillota; Bacilli; Caryophanales; Paenibacillaceae. The record is from RNAcentral.
GUUGAAUAUGCGCUGAAUUUUCCGUAUGGAAAAACGGGGGAACCAACAUUGGCCUAAGUGCCAACGGGGUGAAUCGGGACGGUCCGCAAGGGCUGCAACCGUAGGGCUACCACAGCCCGAAUCCGCCAGCUAACCUCGUAAGCAAUGGUGGGAUAAUGA